Molecule: ribosomal RNA, 1346 nt
Filed under: uncultured bacterium
Lineage: Bacteria
Description: bacterial SSU rRNA
Rfam family: Bacterial small subunit ribosomal RNA
Source: RNAcentral
GACGAACGCUGGCGGCGUGCUUAACACAUGCAAGUCGAACGGAAAGGCCCUGCUUUUGUGGGGUGCUCGAGUGGCGAACGGGUGAGUAACACGUGAGUAACCUGCCCUUGACUUUGGGAUAACUUCAGGAAACUGGGGCUAAUACCGGAUAGGAGCUCCUGCUGCAUGGUGGGGGUUGGAAAGUUUCGGCGGUUGGGGAUGGACUCGCGGCUUAUCAGCUUGUUGGUGGGGUAGUGGCUUACCAAGGCUUUGACGGGUAGCCGGCCUGAGAGGGUGACCGGCCACAUUGGGACUGAGAUACGGCCCAGACUCCUACGGGAGGCAGCAGUGGGGAAUAUUGCACAAUGGGCGGAAGCCUGAUGCAGCAACGCCGCGUGCGGGAUGACGGCCUUCGAGUUGUAAACCGCUUUCGCCUGUGACGAAGCGUGAGUGACGGUAAUGGGUAAAGAAGCACCGGCUAACUACGUGCCAGCAGCCGCGGUGAUACGUAGGGUGCGAGCGUUGUCCGGAUUUAUUGGGCGUAAAGGGCUCGUAGGUGGUUGAUCGCGUCGGAAGUGUAAUCUUGGGGCUUAACCCUGAGCGUGCUUUCGAUACGGGUUGACUUGAGGAAGGUAGGGGAGAAUGGAAUUCCUGGUGGAGCGGUGGAAUGCGCAGAUAUCAGGAGGAACACCAGUGGCGAAGGCGGUUCUCUGGGCCUUUCCUGACGCUGAGGAGCGAAAGCGUGGGGAGCGAACAGGCUUAGAUACCCCGGUAGUCCACGCUGUAAACGGUGGGUACUAGGUGUGGGGUCCAUUCCACGGGUUCCGUGCCGUAGCUAACGCUUUAAGUACCCCGCCUGGGGAGUACGGCCGCAAGGCUAAAACUCAAAGGAAUUGACGGGGCCCCGCACAAGCGGCGGAGCAUGCGGAUUAAUUCGAUGCAACGCGUAGAACCUUACCUGGGUUUGACAUGGAUCGGGAGUGCUCAGAGAUGGGUGUGCCUCUUUUGGGGUCGGUUCACAGGUGGUGCAUGGCUGUCGUCAGCUCGUGUCGUGAGAUGUUGGGUUAAGUCCCGCAACGAGCGCAACCCUUGUUCACUGUUGCCAGCACGUUAUGGUGGGGACUCAGUGGAGACCGCCGGGGUCAACUCGGAGGAAGGUGGGGAUGACGUCAAGUCAUCAUGCCCCUUAUGUCCAGGGCUUCACGCAUGCUACAAUGGCUGGUACAGAGAGUGGCGAGCCUGUGAGGGUGAGCGAAUCUCGGAAAGCCGGUCUCAGUUCGGAUUGGGGUCUGCAACUCGACCUCAUGAAGUCGGAGUCGCUAGUAAUCGCAGAUCAGCAACGCUGCGGUGAAUACGUUCCCGGGGCU